UGGGGGAUAUUGCACAAUGGGCGAAAGCCUGAUGCAGCGACGCCGCGUGGGGGAUGAAGGCUUUCGGGUUGUAAACCUCUUUCGCUAUCGAACAAGGCCCGCUUAGGGUGGGUUGAGGGUAGGUAGAGAAGAAGCGCCGGCUAACUACGUGCCAGCAGCCGCGGUAAUACGUAGGGCGCGAGCGUUGUCCGGAAUUAUUGGGCGUAAAGGGCUUGUAGGCGGCUUGUUGCGCCUGCUGUGAAAACGCGGGGCUUAACUUCGCGCGUGCAGUGGGUACGGGCAGGCUUGAGUGUGGUAGGGGUGACUGGAAUUCCAGGUGUAGCGGUGGAAUGCGCAGAUAUCUGGAGGAACACCGAUGGCGAAGGCAGGUCACUGGGCCAUUACUGACGCUGAGGAGCGAAAGCAUGGGUAGCGAACAGG
RNAcentral lists this ribosomal RNA (420 nucleotides) under bacterium. Its description in RNAcentral is "partial 16S ribosomal RNA". It matches the Rfam family "Bacterial small subunit ribosomal RNA", at positions 355 to 776 of the family's 1533-position model. The record is from RNAcentral.